GGUGGGGUUGCAGAGUGGCCAAAUGCAGUAGACUGUAAAUCUACCGUCCCUGACUUCAGUGGUUCGAAUCCACUCCCCACCACCA
This 85-nucleotide transfer RNA is filed under the name Lentisphaeria bacterium. RNAcentral describes it as "tRNA-Tyr". It matches the Rfam family "tRNA". From Rfam's summary of the family: Transfer RNA (tRNA) molecules are approximately 80 nucleotides in length. Their secondary structure includes four short double-helical elements and three loops (D, anti-codon, and T loops). Further hydrogen bonds mediate the characteristic L-shaped molecular structure. tRNAs have two regions of fundamental functional importance: the anti-codon, which is responsible for specific mRNA codon recognition, and the 3' end, to which the tRNAs corresponding amino acid is attached (by aminoacyl-tRNA synthetases). tRNAs cope with the degeneracy of the genetic code in two manners: having more than one tRNA (with a specific anti-codon) for a particular amino acid; and 'wobble' base-pairing, i.e. permitting non-standard base-pairing at the 3rd anti-codon position. Lineage: Bacteria; Pseudomonadati; Lentisphaerota; Lentisphaeria. The record is from RNAcentral.